This is a non-coding RNA of Ictidomys tridecemlineatus (thirteen-lined ground squirrel), 72 nucleotides long. The record is from Rfam. Lineage: Eukaryota; Metazoa; Chordata; Mammalia; Rodentia; Sciuridae.
UGGAUUGUGGCUCAGUAGUGGAGUGCUUGCCUAGCAUGUGUGAGGCACUGGGUUCGAUUCCCAGUACUACAU